RNAcentral lists this signal recognition particle RNA (85 nucleotides) under bovine gut metagenome. RNAcentral's name for it is "Bacteroidales small SRP". It matches the Rfam family "Bacteroidales small SRP", at positions 15 to 99 of the family's 107-position model. Rfam says of the family: The non-coding component of the signal recognition particle in Bacteroides The record is from RNAcentral.
AGCUGCACGGCCAGCUCCCUCAGACUCCCCCAGGUCUUAACCGAAGCAAGGGUAUGAGGUUGUAGCGGCGCGAUGUAGCUUUCUU